CGCGCCUUCCUUGGUCGCCCUCGACAGCCACUGGCGCUCCAACACCACGAGCAGGAGGGCAGAGGCGGCGACCAGCGCGAAGGUGAAGACGCUUGGAGCCAGGGCUCGCCUCCCGGCCAUCUCUCGUCUCCGGCAGCAGGGCAAAAACCGGAAGAACCCGGAGAAAAUCCACGCCGCCAACACCACCAGCACGGGGAGAGAGAUCAUGCGGAAUCCAAAUAAACUGCAGGCAUCGUCAGAGUCCGGGAUCGAAUCAACGACCUCCUGUGUACCAAGUAAAGGAGAUAACAUCUCGCAACCUCUGCUACUCUUCCGCGCUGACCAGACAUCUUGGAAGAGGUGGAAGGUCCCACACUUUACCUCACUACACGUGACCUGCCAAUGGACUAACUGUGGUGUACCCAUUUAAGCUGCUGAGUGGACAGGAUCUUCAGGUCGUCUUGCCAGCCACGGAUGAUGAUGACCUGACGUCUCUUCAAGUUGCGCGAUGCCUCAAAGCCCAUAUUAACACCCCUCGGCGUGCUGGCAUGGUCGCGAGCAUGGGACCGGCCAUGGAGGAGGGAGCACACACAGGAGAGCGGCUUCUACAGGCCGCUGUUUCCUAUCCCAGGGCACAGCGGAAGGGGUCGGAGGAGCUCCA
Molecule: long non-coding RNA, 640 nt
Organism: Lethenteron reissneri (Far Eastern brook lamprey)
Lineage: Eukaryota; Metazoa; Chordata; Hyperoartia; Petromyzontiformes; Petromyzontidae
Source: RefSeq, a predicted model, not a curated record